RNAcentral lists this ribosomal RNA (254 nucleotides) under uncultured bacterium. RNAcentral's name for it is "partial 16S ribosomal RNA". It matches the Rfam family "Bacterial small subunit ribosomal RNA", at positions 524 to 776 of the family's 1533-position model. The record is from RNAcentral.
CACGUAGGGGGCAAGCGUUGUCCGGAUUUAUUGGGCGUAAAGAGCUCGUAGGCUGUUCGGUAAGUCGGGUGUGAAACCCCCAGGCUCAACCUGGGGACGCCACCUGAUACUGCUGUGACUCGAGUCCGGUAGGGGAGCGUGGAAUUCCUGGUGUAGCGGUGAAAUGCGCAGAUAUCAGGAGGAACACCAGCGGCGAAGGCGGCGCUCUGGGCCGGUACUGACGCUGAGGAGCGAAAGCGUGGAUAGCAAACAGG